AUGCAGGAUGGUGCCACACAACACACAUCCAAUCAACGCACAUCACUUUCCCUUAUGACACAGUUAACCAUGGAUAAGGCAUAUAUCGCCAUCCUCUCCUUCGCCUUCCUCUUCCUGCUCCACUACAUUCUAGGCAAGGUCAGCAAUGGCAGGCGCAGCAAGGGCGCCGUCCAGCUGCCGCCGAGCCCCCAGGCCAUCCCGUUCCUCGGCCACCUCCACCUCCUGGAGAAGCCGUUCCACGCCGCUCUGUGCCGCCUCGCCGAGCGCCUCGGCCCGGUCUUCUCGCUGCGCCUCGGCUCGCGCCGCGCCGUGGUCGUCUCCUCGGCGGAGUGCGCCAGGGAGUGCUUCACGGAGCACGACGUGAUCUUCGCCGACCGGCCCCAGUUCCCCUCGCAGCUGCUCGUGUCCUUCGACGGCAUCGCGCUCUCCACGUCCAGCUACGGCCCGCACUGGCGCAACCUCCGCCGCGUCGCCGCCGUGCAGCUGCUCUCUGCGCACCGCGUCGCCUGCAUGUCCGGCGUGAUCGGGGGCGAGGUGCGCGCCAUGGCGCGCCGGCUCUUCCGCGCCGCCGCGGCGUCCCCCGGUGGGGACGGCGCCGCGCGGGUCCAGCUGAAGCGGAGGCUCUUCGAGCUCUCCCUCAGCGUGCUCAUGGAAACCAUCGCCCAGACCAAGGGGACCCGGUCGGAGGCCGACGCCGACACGGACAUGUCCGUGGAGGCCCAGGAGUUCAAGAAGGUGGUGGACGAGAUCAUCCCGCACAUCGGGGCCGCCAACCUGUGGGACUACCUGCCGGUGCUGCGGUGGUUCGACGUGUUCGGAGUGAGGAACAAGAUCCUUGCCGCGGUGAGCAGGAGGGACGCCUUCAUGCUGCGUCUCAUCGACGCCGAGCGCCGGAGGGUUGACGGCGGCGCCGAAGGCGACAAGAAGAGCAUGAUCGCCGUGUUGCUCACUCUGCAGAAGACGGAGCCGGAGGUGUACACCGAUACUAUGAUCAUGGCUCUCUGUGCGAAUUUGUUUGGGGCUGGGACGGAGACCACGUCGACGACGACGGAGUGGGCGAUGUCGCUGCUGCUGAACCACCCGGCGGCGCUCAAAAAGGCGCAGGCCGAGAUCGACGCGGCGGUGGGCACCUCUCGGCUGGUGACCGCCGACGACGUGCCGCGGCUCGCCUACCUGCAGUGCAUCGUGAGCGAGACGCUGCGGCUGUACCCGGCGGCGCCGCUGCUGCUGCCGCACCAGUCCUCGGCGGACUGCAAGGUGGGCGGCUACAACGUGCCGAGCGGCACGAUGCUGAUGGUGAACGCGUACGCCAUCCACCGGGACCCGGCGGCGUGGGAGCGGCCGCUGGAGUUCGUCCCGGAGCGGUUCGAGGACGGGAAGGCCGAGGGGCGGUUCAUGAUCCCGUUCGGGAUGGGCCGGCGGCGGUGCCCCGGGGAGACGCUGGCGCUGCGGACCAUCGGCAUGGUGCUGGCGACGCUGGUGCAGUGCUUCGACUGGGAGCGCGUGGACGGUGCGGAGGUGGACAUGACGGAGAGCGGCGGGCUCACCAUCCCCAAGGCCGUGCCGCUCGAGGCCGUGUGCAGGCCGCGCACGGCCAUGCGCGACGUGCUUCAGAGCCUCUGA
This 1623-nucleotide ribosomal RNA is filed under the name Triticum aestivum (bread wheat). Its description in RNAcentral is "partial small subunit ribosomal RNA". The record is from RNAcentral. Lineage: Eukaryota; Viridiplantae; Streptophyta; Magnoliopsida; Poales; Poaceae.